AAAGCCAGAUCCAUACCCCAAAACUCCCUAGUUUUUUGAGGCUGUCUCAAAAGCCAGAGGGUCAGACCCCAUAACACAAUAUAUAGGACAUAAUGUUGCAUAAAUGUGCUAUAUAUUGAUAAACGAACAUGGGGUCAGACCCUUAUGAGACAGCCUCGUUAUUUUUGCGAAUACUUUUAAAGUAAAGACGACUUAAUUUCAGUAUUUUGGAUCAUUUAAUUCCUUGUCACUCGAUUUCGUCCACUGACUAAAAAGAAAAGCAGAAAAGGAACAACUAAACACACUCCAAGGCAGCUCCAAAGAAUAUCUUCACCACUAAUAACUUGUUCCAUUAGCAGCCGGUAGUAAGCAUAAAGUGAGUAAGGCAACACCAAAAGGAUUGAAGUUAUCACUCCCGGAGUGUAUUUUUUUAGAAUAAAAGC
RNAcentral lists this non-coding RNA (422 nucleotides) under Bacillus methanolicus MGA3. Lineage: Bacteria; Bacillati; Bacillota; Bacilli; Caryophanales; Bacillaceae. The record is from RNAcentral.